This 450-nucleotide long non-coding RNA is filed under the name Coturnix japonica (Japanese quail). RNAcentral describes it as "lncRNA (ENSCJPG00005016165.1)". Lineage: Eukaryota; Metazoa; Chordata; Aves; Galliformes; Phasianidae. The record is from RNAcentral.
AUGUGGCUAGAAUGUGUUUGCCAUUGGAAUUGGAGCUGUUGGAUGGAGAAUGUCACCAGUAAGAGAGGGGAGCAGCCUUGGGCUGGACAGUUUUCAGACUGGAUUAAAAGAGAGCUCCUCCCUCAGCAGUUACACUUGUUUCAAUCAUACCCUGUUUGUCUUCAAAGGCAGCUGGGAUUAGGAGCCUAACACAUGCAAAGAGAGGUCCGGGAUAAGAAAUGGGCAAUGAAAAACAGCCACGGACAUUCAUGAAGAGUAAGUCAGCCUUCAGCCCCAGAUGUGUUCAUCUUGCCUUACAAAUAUUAAACGUAAUCCAGUAUCAGCUGUUGCACAGGGCUGGGGUAGGUUUGCCCCCAGAGAAUGAGCACAGGCAGAAACAUUAGCAGAACAAACUGAUAUCUGCAGCACAUUCCUGGAUGUGUUAAUAAAAGAGCUGCAGGGUAAAGCUCA